UCUCCUCCAUCCAGCGGGAGAGACGGGGCGACCUGUCCGACAUCGGAGCGCUCCUGGGACUCCGCAGGGGGAAAAAAAAAAAAAAAUCACCAAAAAAAAAAUCGCCCCAAAUUCCUGGGAGCCGAGGGCCGUCCGCGGGGCGCCGCCACGGUUUUGACCUUUAGGAGAGAGCCAAUUCUGGAGAACAACCUAACUUCUUUGAUUGAACAUUCACAUAAUGCAUUGGAACAUGAUAGGAGAUUAAGGUUUAAUAAUGAUAGAAUGAAGACCAUAAUAGAACACUUCCCCUACUUAGCCCAGCAAUUCUUAUGUUAGGUCUUUUGAAAGGUGUACCGCAAGGAAUGAAGUGCCAUCUGUAAAUUAAUGCUUUUACCAAGGUGGAUAUUACUAUCCUUUAUUCAUCGAAAAAGUUUUAUUCUAAGUGUUAAUUUCUCAUUGAGUAUUGACAGAAAGGAGAAAAAUUAAUGUCCCAAACUUUUGAGAUAGAUUUGGCUCUAGCCUGUAUUUUGACACCGCCACUGCCUCCCCUCCAAAAGGUGAGAACUGACUAUUCCAUGUGUACCUAGACCAUGUGGAGAAAGGACUGAGACUGGAAGCAGAAAACAGACAUUGUAUAGAGCAGAGUGCCUGACAACGGCUCACUCUAGUAAAGGGCAGUAAUUGCCACAUGAUAUGAUCCUCUCGUCACAGAAUUUUGCAUCCGACUUAUAUGCCUGGUCUGAUGACUUCUAUCUUUUUAUGACUCCUAAAUUAUGGAGAUGGAGAUGCAGCAGGGGUGAGGGUUCUGGAGUCUUCAGCAGGUGGAUUCCUGUACCUUCAACACACUUCACGUUAGGUGGAGGCAGCAGCACAUUUCCUAGAGCUUUGGUUCCGAUGAUCUGGAUUUAUCAGAUAUAUGCCCAAGAGAACUGGAAGCAAACGUACAAACAAUAAUAUAACGUGGAUGUUCGCGGCAGCAUUAUGUGGAAUAGCUGCACUCAAAAACAGAAAUAACCCCAAAUGCCCGUAAACCAAUGAUGGAUACAUAAGCAAACUGCGGCAGGCCUCUUCGAUGGAAUAUUAUGCAGCCGUAUAAAAGGUGAUCCUGGGGCAGCCCGGGUGGCCCAGCGGUUCAGCGCUGCCUUCAGCCCAGGGCGUGACCCCGGGGUCCUGGGAUCGAGUCCCACGUCGGGCUCCCUGCGUGGGGCCUGCUUCUCCCUCUGCCUGUGUCUCUGCCUCUCUCUGUGUGUGUCUU
Molecule: long non-coding RNA, 1234 nt
Organism: Nyctereutes procyonoides (raccoon dog)
Lineage: Eukaryota; Metazoa; Chordata; Mammalia; Carnivora; Canidae
Exons: 9
Source: RefSeq, a predicted model, not a curated record